UUACUUUGACAAUUCAAUAUUUAAUGGUUCAAGUAAAAUUACAUGUAUGGAAGGUCAUUUUUUCUUAGAUUUUGAUGGGAUAUUUUACAAAGGCAUGACAACACAGAGUUGAUCAAUACUAUACUGCUGGCAAACAUUUAAGCUUUCUCUCCAAGCAACCUUGAACCUGUACCCACCAAUGACUAAUUUACAAGCAUAUAUAUUAUAUAGCAGGUAUUUCAUAUAUAGAUUUUAUACAAGAUACAUGUGUACAUAAAAUAUUCUGGCAAGGUUCAUGCCAGUAUACAUACACACAAAAAUGCACACACACACACUCGCUGCACACACACACACUCACCAAUAUAUGCAUAUGUAGCCAUUUACAUUACAGCAGAGAUUGUCGUCUCAUUGUUUUACAUUUAAUUUGCUUUUGAUUCUCUUUUUUCAUGACUGAAUUCAGGUGACUAAACCUUUACUCAACAAUAUAUAAACCAAUCUUGUUGGAUGCCACCUUGUCAAUUCUUCUCAAAGGUACUGUUCUGUACAAUAUUAAAACAAAACAAAUCACAAAGGUGAUGUGAUAUUUAUCUUGUGUGUACAUGCCUCAUAUUCAUUACACGUUUGAAAUAGAUUUUUUUUGUGUGUUUGUUAGCCACGUAUUGUUAAUUGCCUCAAAAGGGAUAUAUGGUUAUAACAACACAAUUGGUCGAUGAUGGCCACAUGACAACACAAAUCCAUCUGUUACACGUUAAAACAACUUAGGAGCAUAGCAAGCUAGUGAUAAAAAAAUGGGUAAAAAUGGCCCACAUGCAGAUGAUGAUGCAAAAUAACAUCCCAAUGAAAUUCUUUUAUAAUAAAAAAAAAAACUUUUAUUUUUUUUGUAAAAAAAAAAAAAACAUUCGUAGAGAAAUAAAUGAUUUUGGAAAACCGACGGGUGACGUUGUUUCUAUCACUAUGGUUACGGCGACCUGGGAGCUGGAUUUUUAGAAAAGUAGAAAAAAAAUACUAGAGGAGGAAAACAACGCACAUGACUCUCUACUAAUCAUUUAAGUUCUGUGGAAGUUUAUCUCACCAUCUUCCUUUUUUUUGGUUCAUAUGUGAAACCUUUGGCACAAAGCGAAACUGACCUAAAGUGAUCACCCCCUCCUGAAAGACACAUUUACCUUUAAACUGCAUUCCAUUUCUUUAACAAAUGCAGACAUCUGUAACUCUAAGUCAUGGAUGAGCAAACAAAUGGGGAAUUCCAAAUAACAAAAUAACAAAAAUGCCACCUGUUUUUUGAAUAUUUGAAAAUUAUAUCCUAUUUAUUGUUCUACAUUGCCUAAACAUUUUUUUUUUAAAUUUCAAAUAAUUUAUGUGCAUGACAAAUGGCACCCUAUUUCCUACAUAGUGCACUACUUUUGACGAGAGCCCUAUGGGCCCUGGUUAAAUGUAGUGCACUAAAUAGGGAAUAGGGUGCCAUUUGGGAAUCGACCCUGUGUUAUCUCCUUAGGUGUUGUUGAUGGAAAUUCAUUAAACUUUCAGGUUUUCUUCUGAAAGAAGUGUUGAUUAUUUUGACUCUCGAUGACAGUGAUAUAAUGAAACAUUUUAAGUCUCAAGCAUUUACCUAUCCCCAUCUGUUUUGUGUGAUCAAUAUUGACAUAGGAACAUUCUGUCCAUCUGUGUUGCUCUGUAUGAGCGUGAAACAGAGGCAUCUAUGUACAUAAUAUGUACACUGAACAAAAAUAUCAACGCAACAUACAACAAUUUCAACGAUUUUACUGACUUACAGUUCAUACAUGGAAAUCAGUCAAUUUAAAUGAAUUCAUUACAUCCUAAUCUAUGGAUUUCACAUGACUGGGAAUACAGAUCGGUUGGUCACAGAUACCUAUAAAAAAAAAAGUAGGGGUGUGGAUCAGAAAACCAGUCAGUAUCUGGUGUGACCAUUUUCCUCAUGCUGCGUGACACAUCUCCUUUGCAUAGAGUUGAUCAGGCUGUUGAUUGUGGCCUGUGGAAUGACUGUGCGAAGUUGCUGGAUAUUGAUGGGAAUUUGGAACAUGCUGUUGUACACGUCAAUACUGAGCAUUCCAAACAUGCUCAAUGGAUAACAUGUCUGGUGAGUACACAGGUCAUGGAAGAACUGGGACAUUUUCAGCUUCCAGAAAUUGUGUAGAGAUCCUUGCGACAUGUGGCUGUGCAUCAUCAUGCUAAAACAUGAGUUGAUGAACGGGCCACAGGAUAUCUCAUCACGUUAUCUCUGUUUAUUCAAAUCGCCAUUGAUAAAAUGCAAUUGUGUUCAUUGUCCAUAGCUUAUUCAUGCCCAUACCAUAACCCCACCACAACCAUAGGGCACUCUGAUCACAAUGUUGACAUCAGCAAACCUCUCGAUCACAUGACGCCAUACACGCUGUCUGCCAUCUUCCCAGUACGGUUUAAAGCGUGAUUCACCCAUGAAGAGCACACAUCUCUAGUGUGCCAGUAACCAUCGAAGGUGAUCAUUUGCCCACUGAAGUUGGUUACGAAGCCAAACUACUGUCAGGUCAAGACCCUGGUGAGGACGAUGAGCACACAGAUGAGCUUCCCUGAGAUGGUUUCUGACAGUUUGUGCACAAAUUCUUUGGUUGUGCAAACCCACAGUUUCAUCAGCUGUCUGGGUGGUGGGUCUCAGAUGAUCCUGCUUUUGAAGAAGCUGGAUGUAGAGGUCCUGGGCUGGCAUGGUUACACGUGGUCUGCGGUUGGACAUAAUGCCAAAUUCUCUAAAGUGACGUUGGACUCGGCUUAUGGUAGAGAAAUUGACAUGACAUUUUCUGGCAUCAACUCUGGUGGACAUUCCUGCAGUCAGCAUAACAAUUGCACGGCCCCUCAAAACUUCAGACAUCUGAGGCAUUGUGUUGUGUGACAAAACUGUACAUUUUAGAGUGGCCUUUUAGAGUGGCCUCCCCAGCACAAGGUGCACCUGUGUAAUGAUCAUGCCGUUUAAUCAGCUUCUUGAUAUGCCACACCUGUCAAGUGGAUGGAUUAUCUUGGCGAAGGAGAAGUGCUCAAUAACAGCGAUGUAAACAAAGUUGUGCCAUAAAUUUGGGAGAAAUUAGCUUUUUGUGCAUAUGGAACAUUUCAGGGAUCUUUUAUUUCAGCUCAGGAAAUAUGGGACCAACAUUGUACAUGUUGCGUUUAUAUUUUUGUUCAGUAUAUAUACUGUAAGUAUAUUGUGUGAUUUUGUGUGUUUCAGUCGUUGUUAAGUGUCAAUAUUAUCGUUCUACAGCAUAUGCAGUUGGAAUGUUACUGAAUCACACGUCACACAUUGGCAGGCCUGUGUUCACUGUCACUGUCUGAAGGAAGCAAGUGCUUUGUGAUUUGUUUGCAUAUGUCAGUGUACUCUGUCCUGUCUGUAGUUGUUGUCUUUGAUGAAAGACAAAUGUGUUUAACAUUUAACUGCAGUGAGGAGCUGUUUCAGGAUGACAUAGAAGGAAAUCAUUACUCCGCAAAAAAGGAAUUGAUAUCCAAUUCAUGAUUGGGACUUGGUUGGGCAGUAGGUUAACCGUGUUCAAUGAGUAGGAUUUAUUCAAUUCAUUAAUACAAAUUCAAUACAUUUCCUUAAUUGACCAGAAGUGAGAUGAAAUUGACCCUGACCUUGACCCUUCCACAUAACACUCUUAUGACACACGUAAUUUCACAAACCCCGGCUUCGCUAAUGCAUUUCUACACUGAUGGAUACCUGACCCGAAAUGUAAUCUGAAUGCAAGCAGAGUCUCAACCAAGCGCAGACACACUUUACUGUCUAACCCUGCAGGGAGAAUGGUACCCUAAACAUGUCCUGUUA
Molecule: long non-coding RNA, 3778 nt
Organism: Oncorhynchus tshawytscha (Chinook salmon)
Lineage: Eukaryota; Metazoa; Chordata; Actinopteri; Salmoniformes; Salmonidae
Source: Ensembl